CAGCCGCGGUAAUUCCAGCUCCAAUAGCGUAUAUUAAAGUUGUUGACAGUUAAAAAGCUCGUAGUUGAAUUUCGGGACUAAUAUGUCGGUCGUACUUUGUACGUACUAGCAUUAUUGGUUUCUCCCUUCUGACGAACCACGAUGUCAUUAAUUUGGUGUCGUGGGAAAUCAGGACUGUUACUUUGAAAAAUUAGAGUGUUUAAAGCAAGCUCGCGCUUGAAUACAUUAGCAUGGAAUAAUGAAAUAGGACGUUUGAUUCUAUUUUGUUGGGUUUCUAGGAUCGACGUAAUGAUUAAUAGGGAUAUUGGGGGCAUUAGUAUUCAAUUGUCAGAGGUGAAAUUCUUGGAUUUAUUGAAGACUAACUACUGCGAAAGCAUUUGCCAAGGAUGUUUUCAUUAAUCAAGAACGAAAGUUAGGGGGAUCGAAGACGAUCAGAUACCGUCGUAGUCUUAACCAUAAACUAUGCCGACUAGGGAUCGGAUGAUGUUAAUUUUUAUAAUGACUCAUUCGGCGCCUUACG
Molecule: ribosomal RNA, 520 nt
Filed under: uncultured Glomus
Lineage: Eukaryota; Fungi; Glomeromycota; Glomeromycetes; Glomerales; Glomeraceae
Description: SSU rRNA
Rfam family: Eukaryotic small subunit ribosomal RNA
Source: RNAcentral